This 62-nucleotide transfer RNA is filed under the name Anisopteromalus calandrae. Its description in RNAcentral is "tRNA-Ser". Lineage: Eukaryota; Metazoa; Arthropoda; Insecta; Hymenoptera; Pteromalidae. The record is from RNAcentral.
GAAAUAUAAAGAAAUUGAAUUUCUAAUUCAUAAUUAUAAUAAUUUAUUUUAUUAAUAUUUCU